Molecule: ribosomal RNA, 244 nt
Filed under: Acinetobacter baumannii
Lineage: Bacteria; Pseudomonadati; Pseudomonadota; Gammaproteobacteria; Moraxellales; Moraxellaceae
Description: partial 16S ribosomal RNA
Rfam family: Bacterial small subunit ribosomal RNA
Source: RNAcentral
CUGGGAAACUGCCUGAUGGAUGGGGAUAACUACUGGAAACGGUAGCUAAUACCGCAUAAUGUCGCAAGACCAAAGUGGGGGACCUUCGGGCCUCAUGCCAUCAGAUGUGCCCAGAUGGGAUUAGCUAGUAGGUGGGGUAACGGCUCACCUAGGCGACGAUCCCUAGCUGGUCUGAGAGGAUGACCAGCCACACUGGAACUGAGACACGGUCCAGACUCCUACGGGAGGCAGCAGUGGGGAAUAU